Molecule: ribosomal RNA, 460 nt
Filed under: uncultured bacterium
Lineage: Bacteria
Description: partial 16S ribosomal RNA
Rfam family: Bacterial small subunit ribosomal RNA
Source: RNAcentral
CCUACGGGAGGCAGCAGUGAGGAAUAUUGGUCAAUGGGCUUACGCCUGAACCAGCCAAGUCGCGUGAGGGAAGACUGCCCUAUGGGUUGUCAACCUCUUUUGUCAGGGAGCAAUUGGCGCUACGUGUAGCGUUAUCGAGAGUACCUGAAGAAAAAGCAUCGGCUAACUCCGUGCCAGCAGCCGCGGUAAUACGGAGGAUGCGAGCGGUAUCCGGAUUUAUUGGGUUUAAAGGGUGCGUAGGCGGAAUGCCAAGUCAGCGGGAAAAUCGCGGGGCUCAACCUCGCUCCGCCGUUGAAACUGGCGUUCUUGAGUGGGCGAGAAGUAUGCGGAAUGCGUGGUGUAGCGGUGAAAUGCAUAGAUAUCACGCAGAACUCUGAUUGCGAAGGCAGCAUACCGGCGCCCAACUGACGCUGAAGCACGAAAGCGUGGGUAUCGAACAGGAUUAGAUACCCGGGUAGUC